UACGUAGGGGGCAAGCGUUGUCCGGAUUUAUUGGGCGUAAAGAGCGUGUAGGCGGCCAGGUAGGUCCGUUGUGAAAACUCGAGGCUCAACCUCGAGACGCCGAUGGAAACCAUUUGGCUAGAGUCCGGAAGAGGAGAGUGGAAUUCCUGGUGUAGCGGUGAAAUGCGCAGAUAUCAGGAAGAACACCCGUGGCUAAGGCGGCUCUCUAGUACGGUACUGACGCUGAGACGCGAAAGCGUGGGGAGCGAACAGG
Molecule: ribosomal RNA, 253 nt
Filed under: uncultured bacterium
Lineage: Bacteria
Description: partial 16S ribosomal RNA
Rfam family: Bacterial small subunit ribosomal RNA
Source: RNAcentral